This 587-nucleotide ribosomal RNA is filed under the name uncultured bacterium. RNAcentral's name for it is "partial 16S ribosomal RNA". It matches the Rfam family "Bacterial small subunit ribosomal RNA", at positions 355 to 1375 of the family's 1533-position model. The record is from RNAcentral.
UGGGGAAUUUUGGACAAUGGGGCGAAAGCCUGAUCCAGCAAUGCCGCGUGUGUGAAGAAGGCCUUCGGGUUGUAAAGCACUUUUGUCCGGAAAGAAAUCCUUGGCUCUAAUACAGUCGGGGGAUGACGGUACCGGAAGAAUAAGCACCGGCUAACUACGUGCCAGCAGCCGCGGUAAUACGUAGGGUGCAAGCGUUAAUCGGAAUUACUGGGCGUAAAGCGUGCGCAGGCGGUUUGCUAAAGACCGAUGUGAAAUCCCCGGGCUCAACCUGGGAACUGCAUUGGUGACUGGCAGGCUAGAGUAUGGCAGAGGGGGGUAGAAUUCCACGUGUAGCAGUGAAAUGCGUAGAGAUGUGGAGGAAUACCGAUGGCGAAGGCAGCCCCCUGGGCCAAUACUGACGCUCAUGCACGAAAGCGUGGGGAGCAAACAGGAUUAGAUACCCUGGUAGUCCACGCCCUAAACGAUGUCAACUAGUUGUUGGGGAUUCAUUUCCUUAGUAACGUAGCUAACGCGUGAAGUUGACCGCCUGGGGAGUACGGUCGCAAGAUUAAAACUCAAAGGAAUUGACGGGGUCAUAGCUGUUUCCU